Molecule: long non-coding RNA, 608 nt
Filed under: Ananas comosus (pineapple)
Lineage: Eukaryota; Viridiplantae; Streptophyta; Magnoliopsida; Poales; Bromeliaceae
Description: long non-coding RNA (ACOM_LNC006611)
Source: RNAcentral
ACAAGCACAAGAAAACUAAAAACACUACAACAAAAACGGUCUAUAGUGACACUUUUAAAUGUCGGUACAUGUCAAAAAAAGUACUGUUGGCUAAAUUACCGACACUUUUAAAAAAUAUUGCUAUAUGUGGGGUCGCUAGGUAUAUAGUGACAAUUAAAGAGUGUCGCUAUAACCUAAAAAUAGUGCUGCUAAUUUAACAAUAUUUAUUUAAGCAUCUAGCAACCACCGGAACUCUACCUCGUUGGCUGCGGUGGCGGAGGUGGACGAGAGGAAAGGGCCCUUCGUCUAGGAUUUCAGUGGAAUGGGUGAGAGGAGAAGGAGAGAUGGUAAUCGAUCUUUUUUUAUUUUUUCUUUUCUGUUUAUAAUCGGGCCAAAUGGGCUGGGUUGGGUGGGUUGAGUAGAGUAACAUUUUAUUUUUUGUUGGAUUCGGUUUUAUAUUUAGACAUUAAUAGAUGUAUUUUAAAAUUUUGGUAGAAAUGAGACACUUAGGCAAAAGUGUCUCAAACAUGUGUCGCUAUAAUCUAAUUUUGUUGUAGUGAAAUGACAUGCGAAUUAAUUUCUACCGAACAAAAAGCAAUCAAAGAGUGAUUAGGAAAAUGAUUCAGUUU